Molecule: ribosomal RNA, 119 nt
Filed under: uncultured bacterium
Lineage: Bacteria
Description: partial 16S ribosomal RNA
Rfam family: Bacterial small subunit ribosomal RNA
Source: RNAcentral
UGGGGAAUAUUGGGCAAUGGGCGGCAAGCCUGACCCAGCAACGCCGCGUGAAGGAAGAAGGCUUUCGGGUUGUAAACUUCUUUUCUCAGGGACGAAGCAAGUGACGGUACCUGAGGAAU